RNAcentral lists this transfer RNA (73 nucleotides) under Anopheles gambiae str. PEST. RNAcentral describes it as "partial tRNA-OTHER". Lineage: Eukaryota; Metazoa; Arthropoda; Insecta; Diptera; Culicidae. The record is from RNAcentral.
UCCGGAAUAGUGCAAUGGUAAGCGUUCAGGCUUCGUACGCCACAGUUUUUGUGUUCGAAUCCCGAUUUCAGCA